This 301-nucleotide ribosomal RNA is filed under the name uncultured bacterium. RNAcentral describes it as "partial 16S ribosomal RNA". It matches the Rfam family "Bacterial small subunit ribosomal RNA", at positions 509 to 809 of the family's 1533-position model. The record is from RNAcentral.
CAGUCGCCACGGUAAAACGUAGGGCGCAAGCGUUAUCCGGAAUUAUUGGGCGUAAAGAGCUCGUAGGCGGUUUGUCGCGUCUGCCGUGAAAGUCCGGGGCUCAACCCCGGAUCUGCGGUGGGUACGGGCAGACUAGAGUGAUGUAGGGGAGACUGGAAUUCCUGGUGUAGCGGUGAAAUGCGCAGAUAUCAGGAGGAACACCGAUGGCGAAGGCAGGUCUCUGGGCAUUAACUGACGCUGAGGAGCGAAAGCGUGGGGAGCAAACAGGAUUAGAUACCCCCGUAGUCCCUGUCUCUUAUAA